Molecule: non-coding RNA, 7242 nt
Organism: Oryctolagus cuniculus (rabbit)
Lineage: Eukaryota; Metazoa; Chordata; Mammalia; Lagomorpha; Leporidae
Source: RefSeq, a predicted model, not a curated record
GGCACUAUGACAGGAUAUUAAUGACACCCAGGUGUCCAGCAAAGACCCUUCCCUUCAUGGAACUCAAAGUGUGUGAGGGACAUAUGUGGUAAGAGUUUUUGUAACCCAGGUAAUAAAGGCCAUAAGAAGAUUGUGAAAGAUCCACUGCGCAUCCAGGGAGGCAGUGGUCUCCUUUUCUGGCUUCUGCCUCAUUUCUUUAUCUCACCCUCCACAAAAUUUAAUUCCAUCUAUUUAAUCAUUCUCUCCCUCCAGCUUUCUCUCUCUCCUUCCCUCUCUCCUUCCUCUCUCUGUUUCUCCCUUUUGGCUACCUGAUACACUUAACUCAAGACUCAGCCAAAUGCCACCUCUUCUGUAGCACCUUUCCUGAUGUUUCCAGUCAGAAUUAAUAGCUACUUUGUCUAUUUUCCCAUAGUACACUAUUUGUACUGCUAUCAAGCUCUGCCUUAAUUCUGCCUUGUAUUACCUUGAUUUGUUUACAAGUCUGUCUCUCUCCCUUGACUGAACUCGUUGAGAGCAGAGACCUUGACUUACUCAUUUGUUUUUCCUAUAGCACCCAGAAGAGUGCCUGGCACCUAGCUGGUGUUGAAAAAAAUGUUUAUUAAACAUGAAGGGAGAGGCCCAGAGGUGGUGGGGUGUGGGGCUAGGCCUCUGGGAGAGAAGUGAGUAUGCUAGAGUAGUGACUAGGGAGAGCAUAUCCAACCUUUCUUUAGUGGCCAGAUGUGCUGUGAGCUUUUUGGAGGCACAGUAGAUGGUUGCUUUUCCAGCGACUUCAGGGCUAUUACUCUGUUGGAUAGGGUAUGUCUGUUGAAUUGACCAGGAUGGCAGAGGUUACAGAAUAGUGGCCGGUGGUCUUUGUGGGCCUAAAUUUAUAUGCAUGACAAAGAAUUUACAUUUUCUGAAUGUUCUAACUUUUAGAAAGAAGGAGAUUUUACUGUAAACUCUGGGUUUCUAACUUCUCUUUGAAAAGUGGAGAAUAUUUCUGUGAACACGUUCUUAACACUGUAAUCAGCUGAGGCUGAAUACAGGCUGCUGUCUUCAGAUGGUAUGAGCAGUCUCAAGAAAUGUUGUCCCCAUUACUUAUAACUGUUUCUUAAAUUGAGAUAUAACUUGUAUACUAAAAGUGUGCAGUUCAGUGGGUUUUGUACAUUCACAAAGUAUUGCAACUAUUACCACUAUCUAACUACUAUUUUAUCACUCUUGGAAGGAACCUCAAAUUCAUUACCCAUCAUUCCCUAACCUCUCCUUCCCUUGUCCCUGGAAACACUAAACUCCUUUUUUCUCUAUGAUUUUCCUAUGUUGGACAUAUCAUAUAAGUGGAAUCAUAGAACCUGUGGCAUUUUGUGCCUGGAUUCCUUCUCUUGGCAGAAUAUUUUCAGAGUUUAACAAUAUCAUAGUGUGAGUCAUAGUUCACUUAUUUUUAUGACUGGAUAAUCUGUCAUACAGAUAUACAACAUUUUGUGUAUGUAUUCAUCAGCUGUUAGACAUUUAGGUUGUUUAUACUCUUUAGUUAUUAUGAAUAAUGUUUAAAUGACCAUUUUUUAUAAGUUUUUGUGUGAACUCAGGUGUUUCUUAAGUGCAUCACAAUUGACUGAUUUCCACUAAUCUUUCUGACUCGUAUACAUGUUGAUUCAUUCUAGAAGCAGCAUGAGAGAAGAAUGAGUAGGAAUGUUUUGGGGAAAAAUGAGAAAAAUGCAGACAUGAUAGUAGGUCACAGGCACAUAGUGUGUAAAAAGAUGACACUGGGCACCUGGGGGUAACAAGGAAUGGCUAAGGAGUGAAGGAAAGCAGGCAUGGAAGGGGAUGGGAGGCAAGCUGUACCACAGCUUCCCUAGGAUCACACUUUAAAAAUGGAUGCAGAGAAAAGGAAGGUAAGGUAUGUAGCAUAGCAUUGCAAAAGGGGAACGACCCAAGGCUAGGAGUCAGAAGACAUGAAUUUGAAUCUUCUUAUACUACUAUUUAUGUUUCAUUUAUUUGAAAGGGUGAGAGAGUGAGAGCAAGCAAGAGACAGAUCCAUCUCCACUCCACAAAUACACACAGCGAUGUCCAGGAUCUCAAUUCAAAUCUCCCAUGUGGGCAGCAGGAACCCAACUACUUGACCCACCACCUGCUCUCUCUCAAGGUGCACAUUAGCAGGGAGCAGGAAUCAGGAGUGGAGCCAGGACUUGAAUCCAGGCAGUCUUAAAUGGAAUUUGGGCAUUCCAAAUAGUGUUUUAACCUCCCAAUCACUGUCAGAUGCUGACACUCUCAUACUUUUUGAUAGAUAUAACCUUGGCAAGAAAUUUCCUUGAAAUCAAUGGUUUUAUCUGUGAUCUAGAUAAAAUAAAGUUACCCAGUUAACCUCACUGGAUUUGUGUGAGCAUCAAAUGAUAUCAUAAAUGUGACAAGGGGUCGAAAACUUGAAUAGAGGAGGAUACUUCAAAAAGUUUUUGGAGAAAGCUAAUAGGCAUUUUCCACAAACCCUUUGAAAUGCCUUUAUAGAGUAUGUUUAUGAGAGAUUAAUCUUCAGAGAAAAUGGCACACUUACAAAUAAUUGUGAGGCUUCCAGUUAGUUAAGUGACCCUGGAAGAUCACGGUCAGAAUAACUCAGCACCUGAGAUCUCCCUAUUAGAAAUACUCUCAUUGCCAGUUAGUCUUUAGAAUGACUCUAUCUUAUUCAUCCCAGACAAGAAUGAGCAGGACUUUUCUCUUUUGCAGGGAUGGGAGAGAGGCCUAUUAUAAGGUCUGGGAUUUGAGAGGGUCAGGAGUUUUCAGGAGUUGGACCCUGGAGGUUCUCUAGGGCCCUAGGGAUUAGUAGACUAGCUGUGGGCUAAGCCUUGGUUAAAGCCCUUACCUCUUUUUGAAAACUCCAUCAUGGAUCAUAUCACUUUUGCUUUGCAGUUAGAAAAGGUAGAGGGAGAGAUAAAAUGUCCCCAAGAGACAUAGAGUCAGUACCAGAGGUCUUCUAGGGGAGCAGGGGAGAGGAAAUGGACUAGGUAUGACCUGAAGUGAGCCCAGCAUUGCUUGAGUUUUUCUGAGUAGAGAAAUAAUAACAAUUACUAACAUUUAUUGAGCACUUACUUUGUGUUGUUCCAAAGCUUUACAUAGGAAUUCAUUUAAUCUUCAUCUGAACUCUAUGAAGUUGAGUUUGUUUGUUUUUUGAGGGGAGGAGAAACAAAAGUUGAAAAGUUAAGGAACUGACCCUGGCCAUGUAACUAGAAAGGGGGAGUCUGGACUCAUACCUUGUUGGUCUGACUUCAAGGGUGCCCUGAAUGCACUGUGAGACCUCAGCAGGGAUCCCAGGUUUCUAAUCAGAAGGCCUAGGAGUCAUCUCAUCACUGCCCCUGAAUAAGAGAGUGGUCUGUGGCCUGUCAUUGUGGGAACUGCCCAGAUUGCUUUGGGACACUCUCAAGACCCAUAUCUACCUUCAUGUUGGAUUGAUAUGGCCAACUUCUGACAUAGGUAAAUCUUGAGUCUAGAAGUGAUUUGAUAUUAGCCCUAGGAGGUUUAUCCCCUGUUUCCUGUCCAGUGUAGACCUAUUUAAGAAGGAAGGGAGAGAGAGUAGGGGGAGGAAAAGGGAGAGAGGGGGUGGGUGGGAAUGACAUCAAGCAGGAAUGUGCCAGUCAGCGGGGGUAAAUUUUCCACUUGGAUCUGUGUGGAAACCUGAUCCUGUCUCUAAUUUUGGUCUCCUUCUCUAACAACCUUUCACCAGAUUGGAAUUUUUCUGCACCUGUAACACAUUUUUAAUGUAAUAAGUCUAGGAGAAACCAGGUAUUAUAUCAUGCUGGGGCCUGUGCUGUGUUUCUAGGAGCAAAGGUAGCCCAGACCCCCGUUUAUCCCUAUAGGGGAUUAGUGUAUUAGUCACCCUGUAAAAGCUCAAUUUGUUAUGAUUUUUUUAAAAUGUUUCUUUUAGCACUUGCUUAUAAAAGGUGAAGAGGGGAGCAACGAAUGUCUGUGCUCCCUGCCCCUACCUCCUUCACACAUGCACAUACUCUCUAUCAAUUUUCUAUGAAUUCAAAUUCAUAAAAAUCCAAUACACAAGUAUUGGCUUGAACCAGUUAGCUUAUGUUUGCUAUAUUGAAUUUUGUCUUGGCUAGGGGCAGUGCAAGUCACAAAAAGGUGACAUUAUUGUAUGGGCCACCUGCUCUGUGGGGAAUGAAAGUGAGUUAGAUAGUAAAUUAGUGGUUUAUGGUGACCAUGAAUAGCUACUGAGGCUCAGAUUUGGCUUCUUCAUGUGUGACUGGGCAUUUCCUUCCUUGUUACUCAAGAUGAGCUGUCUUUUGGAUUUAGGCCAUUGGUUGCAUGGGGGCUCAAUGUAAAUGUUUCUCCUAACUUUACCUAACUGGGGAGUUCUAUACAGCUCGCCCCCAUGAAGAAUAAGGAAAGUAUAGGAAAGAUGGAAGAAAGGUGGGAAGAAGGAAGGGAAAGAGCUAGCAGCCAUGGUCACGUAAGAACACAUGAGACAGUAUGGGACUGGAGAGAGCAUGCACUCUCUCCAGGAGGUAACAUGGCCUUGUAUCCCCAGGCUGCCAUCCAGACCAAGAGUCUGUAUCUAAGUUGCCUAGAUUUUGAAUUUUAGUGGCCAUUCAAUACUCAGGGGAACCUUUUACCUUUGGUUUCAUCUUCCAUCCCUCACUAAACCCCCAAACCUAUCCCAGAACUGGAGGUAGCAGAGCAGAAAGAAGACUGAUUGCAGUCAAAGAUCACAGCUGAAAUGAGCUCUGUCAUUUUGUGUGUGCCUAGCACAGAUUCAAGUUUUGUGGCACCUGAUGCUAAUAUGUUUUCGGGUACCAUUUUUGAGGAAAAGAUUAUGAAUGUGAAAUUGCCAGGGUCCCUGCCAGGGCCUGGAAGUGAAAAGCUGACUGACAUGAAAGUUUCAUUAGCUUCACUAAAUCUGCUUGGUGUGUAGCCCUAUGUCAGUUGACAUCUUUGAGCUCCAGUCAUUUCUUUCCUGGGGACUUAAUCAUGCCUGUCUGUCUCAAGGGAGUAUUGUAAUGAACAAGCAUUUUUUUUUUCAAAAUGCCACAUAUACAUGCAUGUGCAUGUGUGUGUGCAUGCACAUGUGCACACACAUACACAUACACACGGUCUAGGAAUUCUAGAAAUGUGCUAUUUAUCAAAGUCCAUUCAGGUAUUGUUUUAUUUUUUUUUUAUUUUUAUUAUUUUUUUUUUUUUUGACAGGCAGAGUGGACAGUGAGAGAGAGAGAGACAGAGAGAGAAAGGUCUUCCUUUGCCGUUGGUUCACCCUCCAAUGGCCGCCGCUGCAGCCGGCGCACCGCGCUGAUCCUGGCAGGAGCCAGGAGCCAGGUGCUUUUCCUGGUCUCCCAUGGGGUGCAGGGCCCAAGCACCUGGGCCAUCCUCCACUGCACUCCCUGGCCAUAGCAGAGAGCUGGCCUGGAAGAGGGGCAACCGGGACAGAAUCCGGCGCCCCAACCGGGACUAGAACCCGGUGUGCCGGCGCCGCAAGGUGGAGGAUUAGCCUAUUGAGCCACGGCGCCGGCUAGGUAUUGUUUUAAUGCCUUGAUAAUAAUAUCUAUAGGUUUCCCCCCAUUCAGUUAUUUGUCCCAGUGUUUCCCAUUGGUUUAUUGGUCAGGACAUCUUCAGGGUGCCCUCUACUGGUUUUGUUGGAUGGGUUCCAGAUCCAGAGAGUGGUAAAUAAAAGCACUUUUGUGUUUCCUAUGUGUGGAACAGGAGCAGUCAUCUGUCUGGGGACCCUGUCUACCCUGCAUUUACAGCUUGGAGAUCUGCAUCCAUUUGCCAUUGAAGAAUGAAUAAAGCAUCUCCACCUCUCUAAUGAGGCACCAGAACAUAAACCUCAGUUACCAGCACUUGAAGAGAAUCCCAGAUGUUUUAAAGAAAAAUGCCUGAUAUUCCAAGUAUGCCAUUUGUGAAGUUUUCAAGAGAUCUACAGUAAGCUAUGAGGUGGGGUUGUUUAAAAUGAAGAUGUGAAUUGACAAUGUAGCACAUUGUACAGAUCCCCCAAUGACUGCACAGUGCCUUCAAGGUACUUUAAUUGGGAAGUUGGCCUGGUUUGACAUAUCUGCAUUUCAGGGGUUCUGUUUAUUUAUAAGUGCCUUCAAAUUGCUUAAAAACUAGGUCAACUAAGGCAGACAAUACUUUUAAAAAGGUAGGAAGGGAAGGAUGCCACAUUAAAUGUGGAGUGGCUCUGAUGAGUGUUGCUAAAAUAAAUAUGAGUUUUUCAAAUAUGCAAUGGCUUGAAGAUUUCUAACCUAGAGCACUGGAUAAAUAGGAUAAAAUUCCCUCUUUAAAUAUCUAUGAUUUUUAAAAUUAUAAAUCAUCGCAGAGCUCCUAGCUGUUAUUUUUGUGAGCUCACAUAAAUGAUGACGAGGUGACCUGCUAGCAUGAGAGCAAAAGUAGAACUGGAAUUUGUAAAAGUGACAAGGUUGACCUAAAAAUGAGUGAGCCAUCUGGUCAACAUCCACAUCUUAGAAAACACUGGAAUGUUCCCUCACUGGUAGGGACUGUGUCUUAAGCCUUUUAUCCAUCCUCACAAAGAUCAGACACAAAACAAAUAGGGAAUUUCAUAAAUAAUUACCAACAUAUUAUAAAAAUUCAUUUGGCAGCAUUAUUAUUAUUUUUAAAUGGCCUAAUCAGACAGGCUUUUCAUUUCCAAAAAUUACCUUCUAAAUCAUAGGUAGUUUUCUAGUCUAGUCCUAUGUAGUUUUAUAGUUUUACGUGGAGGCAGUUUGUUAAUAAGCAGUGCUGUGCUGGUAAGAUGGAAAGAAAGAGAAAGAAAGAGGGGGGAAGGAAGAAAGGAGGGAAGGAAGGAGGAGAAGGUGAAGGAAAGGUAGGUGAAAGAAGCAGGGAAAGAGCGGGAGAGAGGGAGGAAUAGACCUGAUUUGUAGCAUAUGCCAGUUUCUGUGGUGUAAAUACUCAUGCCAUAGCUGAUUUCAAGUUACAAAGGGUUUGACAGGGGACUUCCAGAAUUCCUGAGUAUUUGACAGUUGGCUCCAACACAUCAUUCCUAUUAGACCUUUAUUCACGCAGGUGUUGAGUUUGAGGGCUGGCUGCAGUUACUAACUGUUGAACUUCUGAAAAUUAAUUAGGCACUCUGGCCCUGAGUUGCAUCAUCUAAAAUUAAAGAGUUCUUACAGUCUGACAUCCCUUACACUCUUCUGUAUGUUGUGAAGCGUUUGAAGGAUUAAAUCCAGCAAUGCUUGGUUCAGGGUGAGAUAUGACCUUGCUUUUUUUUUUUCUUUUCAGGCUUUUUAUUAUGAAUUAAUUUGUAUUUAUUCGAGGGGGAGA